UGAAAAUUUGAAUGAUUUUCUACUUCUAUAUAAAUAGGAGAUCUUGUACAUAUUCGUUAUACCUAUAAAAGUUUUUUAAGAAAUGACAGACACUUAAAUAAGUAAACUAAGUCACAAAGUUAUAAAAGUAAUCAGUAUCUUAAUAACAAUUUAUUUUAUCACAAGACUUAAUAUUUUUGAAUAAUACACAUUGACUUACUAAUUGCGUCUCUAUGCCACCAAUCCCACCUACU
This 233-nucleotide long non-coding RNA is filed under the name Carica papaya (papaya). RNAcentral's name for it is "long non-coding RNA (CPAP_LNC006635)". The record is from RNAcentral. Lineage: Eukaryota; Viridiplantae; Streptophyta; Magnoliopsida; Brassicales; Caricaceae.